AGGAUUAGAUACCCUGGUAGUCCACACGGUAAACGAUGGAUACUCGCUGUUGGCGAUAUACUGUCAGCGGCCAAGCGAAAGCAUUAAGUAUCCCACCUGGGGAGUACGCCGGCAACGGUGAAACUCAAAGGAAUUGACGGGGGCCCGCACAAGCGGAGGAACAUGUGGUUUAAUUCGAUGAUACGCGAGGAACCUUACCAG
Molecule: ribosomal RNA, 201 nt
Filed under: uncultured bacterium
Lineage: Bacteria
Description: partial 16S ribosomal RNA
Rfam family: Bacterial small subunit ribosomal RNA
Source: RNAcentral